GGGGCACAGAGAGCUGGUAGCACAUGAUGGUUCCCUCCUCGCCUGCUGACCUGAAGGACUGACUAAAGCCUAGAAUGGCACUAAAUGUCAGCCAAGUAUAAGGAUGUUCUACCUGACAUCUUGGGGACUGGAGGGCCUCAAAGCACCACAAGAGUUUCAGUGCAUGAAAUUCUGCUGUGUUAAAAACUUCUCCAAAGACCUCAG
RNAcentral lists this long non-coding RNA (204 nucleotides) under Parus major (Great Tit). RNAcentral describes it as "lncRNA (ENSPMJG00000001393.1)". Lineage: Eukaryota; Metazoa; Chordata; Aves; Passeriformes; Paridae. The record is from RNAcentral.